RNAcentral lists this ribosomal RNA (386 nucleotides) under Ptyodactylus cf. hasselquistii. RNAcentral describes it as "partial 12S ribosomal RNA". It matches the Rfam family "Bacterial small subunit ribosomal RNA", at positions 796 to 1382 of the family's 1533-position model. The record is from RNAcentral. Lineage: Eukaryota; Metazoa; Chordata; Lepidosauria; Squamata; Phyllodactylidae.
UUAAUCGUCAACACAAGCGGUCACCAUAAACCACUGCUCGCCAGAGAAGUACAAGUGAAAAACUGGAAACUCAAAGGACUUGGCGGUGUCCCACAUCAACCUAGAGGAGCCUGUCCCAUAAUCGAUACCCCACGCUAAACCUAACCUGCUUUUGCCAAUCAGCCUAUAUACCGCCGUCGCCAGCCUGCCUAAUGAUAGACCCAUAGCAGGCACAACUAACCCCCUUAAACACGUCAGGUCAAGGUGUAGCUAAUAAGCAGGUGUCAGAUGGGCUACAUUUUCUAAACAUAAGAAAACCACUACAAGCACUAUGAAACAUAGGCUGAAAGGCGGAUUUAGUAGUAAGUCGGGCAAGAUAGGCCUGACUGAAAACUGCCCUGGGACAC